This 549-nucleotide ribosomal RNA is filed under the name uncultured bacterium. RNAcentral's name for it is "partial 16S ribosomal RNA". It matches the Rfam family "Bacterial small subunit ribosomal RNA", at positions 355 to 895 of the family's 1533-position model. The record is from RNAcentral.
UGGGGAAUUUUGGACAAUGGGCGAAAGCCUGAUCCAGCAAUGCCGCGUGUGUGAAGAAGGCCUUCGGGUUGUAAAGCACUUUUGUCCGGAAAGAAAUCCUCUGGGUUAAUACCUCGGGGGGAUGACGGUACCGGAAGAAUAAGCACCGGCUAACUACGUGCCAGCAGCCGCGGUAAUACGUAGGGUGCAAGCGUUAAUCGGAAUUACUGGGCGUAAAGCGUGCGCAGGCGGUUUUGUAAGACGGAUGUGAAAUCCCCGGGCUUAACCUGGGAACUGCAUUCGUGACUGCAAGGCUAGAGUAUGGCAGAGGGGGGUUAGAAUUCCACGUGUAGCAGUGAAAUGCGUAGAGAUGUGGAGGAGUACCGAUGGCGAAGGCAGCCCCCUGGGCCAAUACUGACGCUCAUGCACGAAAGCGUGGGGAGCAAACAGGAUUAGAUACCCUGGUAGUCCACGCCCUAAACGAUGUCAACUAGUUGUUGGGGAUUCAUUUCCUUAGUAACGUAGCUAACGCGUGAAGUUGACCGCCUGGGGGAGUACGGUCGCAAGAUU